CCUACGGGUGGCAGCAGUGGGGAAUAUUGGACAAUGGGGGGAACCCUGAUCCAGCCAUGCCGCGUGUGUGAAGAAGGCCCUCGGGUUGUAAAGCACUUUCAGUGAGGAAGAACGCCUGGUGGUUAAUACCCAUCAGGAAAGACAUCACUCACAGAAGAAGCACCGGCUAACUCCGUGCCAGCAGCCGCGGUAAUACGGAGGGUGCGAGCGUUAAUCGGAAUUACUGGGCGUAAAGCGCGCGUAGGUGGCUUGAUAAGCCGGUUGUGAAAGCCCCGGGCUCAACCUGGGAACGGCAUCCGGAACUGUCAAGCUAGAGUGCAGGAGAGGAAGGUAGAAUUCCCGGUGUAGCGGUGAAAUGCGUAGAGAUCGGGAGGAAUACCAGUGGCGAAGGCGGCCUUCUGGACUGACACUGACACUGAGGUGCGAAAGCGUGGGUAGCAAACAGGAUUAGUACCCCAGUAGUC
RNAcentral lists this ribosomal RNA (464 nucleotides) under Vreelandella stevensii. RNAcentral describes it as "partial 16S ribosomal RNA". It matches the Rfam family "Bacterial small subunit ribosomal RNA", at positions 338 to 795 of the family's 1533-position model. Lineage: Bacteria; Pseudomonadati; Pseudomonadota; Gammaproteobacteria; Oceanospirillales; Halomonadaceae. The record is from RNAcentral.